This 489-nucleotide ribosomal RNA is filed under the name uncultured Niastella sp. RNAcentral describes it as "bacterial SSU rRNA". It matches the Rfam family "Bacterial small subunit ribosomal RNA", at positions 8 to 488 of the family's 1533-position model. The record is from RNAcentral. Lineage: Bacteria; Pseudomonadati; Bacteroidota; Chitinophagia; Chitinophagales; Chitinophagaceae.
AGAGUUUGAUCAUGGCUCAGGAUGAACGCUAGCGGCAGGCUUAAUACAUGCAAGUCGAGGGGCAGCAUGAGUGUAGCAAUACAUUUGAUGGCGACCGGCAAACGGGUGCGGAACACGUACAGAACCUUCCUUCGAGCGGGGAAUAGCCCAGAGAAAUUUGGAUUAAUACCCCAUAGCAUUAUGAAGUGGCAUCACUUUAUAAUUAAAGAUUUAUCACUUGAAGAUGGCUGUGCGGCUGAUUAGGUAGUUGGCGGGGUAACGGCCCACCAAGCCUGCGAUCAGUAACUGGUGUGAGAGCACGACCAGUCACACGGGCACUGAGACACGGGCCCGACUCCUACGGGAGGCAGCAGUAAGGAAUAUUGGUCAAUGGACGCAAGUCUGAACCAGCCAUGCCGCGUGGAGGAUGAAGGUCCUCUGGAUUGUAAACUUCUUUUAUCUGGGACGAAAAAAGAUCUUUCUAGAUCAACUGACGGUACCAGAUAAUAG